AUACGGAGGGUGCAAGCGUUAUCCGGAAUUAUUGGGUUUAAAGGGUCCGUAGGCGGCUAGAUAAGUCAGUGGUGAAAUUCUCUCGCUCAACGAGAGACCUGCCAUUGAUACUGUCUUGGCUAGAGUUACAGUGAGGUGAGUGGAAUGUGUAGUGUAGCGGUGAAGUGCAUAGAUAUUACACAGAACACCGAUUGCGAAGGCAGCUCACUAACUGUAUACUGACGCUGAUGGACGAAAGCGUGGGGAGCAAACUGGAUUAGAAACCCUAGUAGUCC
RNAcentral lists this ribosomal RNA (275 nucleotides) under uncultured bacterium. Its description in RNAcentral is "partial 16S ribosomal RNA". It matches the Rfam family "Bacterial small subunit ribosomal RNA", at positions 523 to 796 of the family's 1533-position model. The record is from RNAcentral.